Passer domesticus (house sparrow) is the source of this 1124-nucleotide long non-coding RNA. RefSeq lists it as uncharacterized. The transcript is spliced from 3 exons. The record is from RefSeq and is a predicted model, not a curated record. Lineage: Eukaryota; Metazoa; Chordata; Aves; Passeriformes; Passeridae.
UAUUUUUGCUGCAUCUUGGUAAUUUGUGCAUUUUGAGGGACUGAAUCUUGGUGUUUUGGGGGUUUACAUAGGCACCAGAUUCCCAGUGACUUCUAGAGUGUGCAGGCAGAGGGGCCCAACAUUGGAACUGCAAUAGCUCAGGGCAAAGGUGACCAGGGUCAGAGAGAGACACCCCUCUGAGGACAAUGGUCUCACCAUAAGCAUUUGCAGGCUCAUGUGAAUGCAGCAGGCUUCAUUGGUAUCACCCAGUCCAGCUGCCCUUUUUUCCUUAUAUGUACUCCCCCUAGAAUGUUCUCCCAUCUCUUGUCCCCUAUUGGUCCCGGUUUACUGCAAUGCUCCGCCCCUGUUACCUCAUUGGUUCCCCAGUUGGCUGCCCCUCCUCUGCACCACUUGUGCUCAGUUCCCAUUGGCCCUUGGCCCUCAGACCCGCCCCUUCCCCCCUUAUCAAACUCUGUGUCCUCAGCCCCAUUUUGUCUCUGUCUUUGGAUCCCCUGCAUUGCAAUAAACUGUGUUUGGAGCUGUGCACACAGACCCGUCUCUGGCCUUGUCCGUCAGCAGGAUUUCUCAUUCCCAAACCUUGGCCGGAUGGAGGAGGAGGCUGUGAGGAAGAGGAAGAAGCCCUGGAACACGCAGGCAGAAAAGGAGCUGAGGAUGGAGAGCAGGGAGGAAAAAUCCCCACAGAAGAACCCCAUGGAAGAGGCUGUAUUGAGCAGCUCAACGGCACAGGAAUCCAACAGAGAGGAAAAGCCCCAGAGAUCCCACAGGACCAGGGGCUCCAAACCCAGCCCAGGUUGCUCUGAGGUGGACAGACCCACCCUGUGCCAGGAAGGUGGACAGAGCUUCAGGCAGAGCUGGUGGCCCAUGAGCAGCUUCAUGAUGCGGAGAAGCCCUAGAAGCGUUUGGAGUGUGGGAAGAGCUUCAGGAAGAGCAGCACCCUGAUCCGCCACCAGAUGAUCCACACUGGGGAAUGGGCCUACGAGUGUGGGGAGUGUGGGAAGGGCUUCAGGUGCGGCUCUGAGCUCGUCAUCCACCAACGCAUCCACACUGGGGAGAGACCCUAUGAAUGUCCCCAGUGUUGGAAGAGGUUUCACACCAGUUCCAAUCUCCUCCUUCGCGAGCGGAUU